This 406-nucleotide ribosomal RNA is filed under the name uncultured bacterium. RNAcentral describes it as "partial 16S ribosomal RNA". It matches the Rfam family "Bacterial small subunit ribosomal RNA", at positions 30 to 526 of the family's 1533-position model. The record is from RNAcentral.
AUUGAACGCUGGCGGCAGGCCUAACACAUGCAAGUCGAACGAGUGGCGGACGGGUGAGUAAUGUAUGGGAAACUGCCUGAUGGAGGGGGAUAACUACUGGAAACGGUAGCUACUACCGCAUAGCAGCAGAUGUGUCCAGGUGGGAUUAGCUAGUUGGUGGGGUAACGGCUCACCAAGGCGACGAUCCCUAGCUGGUCUGAGAGGAUGACCAGCCACACUGGAACUGAGACACGUUCCAGACUCCUACGUGAGGCAGCAGUGGGGAAUAUUGCACAAUGGGCGAAAGCCUGAUGCAGCCAUGCCGCGUGUGUGAAGAAGGCCUUCGGGUUGUAAAGUACUUUCAGCGGGGAGGCGUUACCAGCAGAAGAAGCACCGGCUAACUCCGUGCCAGCAGCCGCGGUAAUUC